RNAcentral lists this ribosomal RNA (425 nucleotides) under uncultured bacterium. Its description in RNAcentral is "partial 16S ribosomal RNA". It matches the Rfam family "Bacterial small subunit ribosomal RNA", at positions 354 to 796 of the family's 1533-position model. The record is from RNAcentral.
GUGGGGAAUAUUGGACAAUGGGCGCAAGCCUGAUCCAGCCAUGCCGCGUGAGUGAUGAAGGCCUUAGGGUUGUAAAGCUCUUUCAGUGGGGACGAUAAUGACGGUACCCACAGAAGAAGCCCCGGCUAACUUCGUGCCAGCAGCCGCGGUAAUACGAAGGGGGCUAGCGUUGUUCGGAUUUACUGGGCGUAAAGCGCACGUAGGCGGAUCGUUAAGUCGGGGGUGAAAUCCUGGAGCUCAACUCCAGAACUGCCUUCGAUACUGGCGAUCUUGAGUCCGGAAGAGGUGAGUGGAACUCCUAGUGUAGAGGUGGAAUUCGUAGAUAUUAGGAAGAACACCAGUGGCGAAGGCGGCUCACUGGUCCGGUACUGACGCUGAGGUGCGAAAGCGUGGGGAGCAAACAGGAUUAGAAACACUAGUAGUCC